Molecule: long non-coding RNA, 1327 nt
Filed under: Oryctolagus cuniculus (rabbit)
Lineage: Eukaryota; Metazoa; Chordata; Mammalia; Lagomorpha; Leporidae
Description: lncRNA (ENSOCUG00000034495.1)
Source: RNAcentral
CUAGUUACAGCCCAGAUCUCCAGACUCUGAGUCAGUUGACUUGCUUUCUUUUUUCUGCAGACUUGCUCCAUAUGGAACUGUGUAAGUGUUUUUCUCAAUUUUAUAUUCACUGUUGGCUAAAAGUUAAUGCAUUGACAACUUGAAGACGAGUUGUACACCUGUCACUAUGAGUGAAUCCCUUUGCCACAUCUGCACAACAGGUCUACAUCCUGUUCUUGCUCAGGAUGCUGUCUGUCUACAAUAGGAGCAGCCACAAUACCUCCUCAAGGGAACGACUUACAGAAGAAAAGCCUAACAAAUGAGAAAACAAAAGGAAGCAAAGAAGUCUUGACGGCAUUGCUGGAUUCUGUGGUCAGCUAUCUCUACAUUCAGCAUUGUGAGAGACAUUACAUAUUUUGGUUGUUCAGAUCAAUGUUAGGUAUUUUGUUGGGACAAAAGAUAUUCACUGCUGUGCUUGCAACUUUUUUCCAUUUAGGCCUUCCAAUAAAAUUGAAGUGGUAUCUCAUUUUUUGUGUUAAUUUGAAUUUCUCUGAUAAUUAGCAAUAUUACUCUUCGUUUUCUUUUUUUGAAGGUUUCUAUUUUGAAUACAAAUUUUCAUAUGUGUGGCUUUUAGGGAUAUAGUGUUUCUUUCCCCCCAUUCCCACCAUCCCACCACAACACCCAUCCCACCUCCCCUCCCCCUCCCAUUCCAUUUUUAUUCUCAUUGGAGCCUCCUUUAAGGGGUGAGGAAUGGUCGCUUCAACACUGGUUGAAAAAGAAAACAUGUACUCUGUUGGGUGAAAAAUUAUUUCUAUUAUUAAGGAUAUCAGUGCAGAUAUAUAUUAUUAAUUUGAGAGUAUUCAAGUUUUCUUUUUGUUGUUGUUUUGUUUGGUUGACCUUUCAGAUUUGGAUACAAUUAUGUAUGUUUUAAACAUUUACUUUUCUAUUGAAAGAGUAACAGGGAGGGGGCAGAGAGAGAGAAAGAGAGAGACAUAGCAAAAGAGAGUGAGAUCUUCAUUUCAUUCCUUCACUCCCCAAAUGGUCACAAUGGCUGUGGCUAAACCAGGCUGAAAACAGGAGUUUUGAACUCCAUCCAGGUCUUCCAUACUGGUAGCAAGGACCCAAGUACUGGGGCCAUCAUCUGAUGCUUUUCCAGGCACAGUAGCAAGGAGCUGGACGGGAAGUGGGGCAGCCAGAAUUCAAACCAGCACUCUAAACCAAGAUGCCAGUGUUGCAGGCAGCAGCUUACCCACUGCACCACAAUGCUGGCUCCCACAGUUAUAGUAAAAACCUCUAAAAGCAAUUUUUGGUCAUUCCACAUCUUUUCACAUUACUGCUCUUGUUUCAC